UACGGGGGGGGCAAGCGUUGUUCGGAAUUACUGGGCGUAAAGGGCUCGUAGGCGGCCAACUAAGUCAGACGUGAAAUCCCUCGGCUUAACCGGGGAACUGCCUCUGAUACUGGAUGGCUUGAGAUUGGGAGAGGGAUGCGGAAUUCCAGGUGUAGCGGUGAAAUGCGUAGAUAUCUGGAGGAACACCGGUAGCGAAGGCGGCAUCCUGGACCAACACUGACGCUGAGGCACGAAAGCGUGGGGAGCAAACAGGG
Molecule: ribosomal RNA, 254 nt
Filed under: uncultured bacterium
Lineage: Bacteria
Description: partial 16S ribosomal RNA
Rfam family: Bacterial small subunit ribosomal RNA
Source: RNAcentral